Molecule: ribosomal RNA, 548 nt
Filed under: Bacillus cereus
Lineage: Bacteria; Bacillati; Bacillota; Bacilli; Caryophanales; Bacillaceae
Description: bacterial SSU rRNA
Rfam family: Bacterial small subunit ribosomal RNA
Source: RNAcentral
UUAGAUACCCUGGUAGUUCCACGCCGUAACCGAUGAGUGCUAAGUGUUAGAGGGUUUCCGCCCUUUAGUGCUGAAAGUUACCGCUUAAAGCACUCCGCCUGGGGAGUACCGGCCGCAAGGCUGAAACUCAAAAGGAAUUGACGGGGGGCCGCCCAAGCGGUGGAGCAUGUGGUUUAAUUCGAAGCAACGCGAAAGAACCUUCCCAGGUCUUGACAUCCUCUCCCCCCCCCCAGAGAUAGGGCUUCCCCUUCGGGAGCAGAGUGACAGAUGGUGCAUGGUUGUCGUCAGCUCGUGUCGUGAGAUGUUGGGUUAAGUCCCGCAACGAGCGCAACCCUUGAUCUUAGUUGCCAUCAUUUAGUUGGGCACUCUAAGGUGACUGCCGGUGACAAACCGGAGGAAGGUGGGGAUGACGUCAAAUCAUCAUGCCCCUUAUGACCUGGGCUACACACGUGCUACAAUGCCCGGUACAAAGAGCUGCAAGACCGCGAGGUGGAGCUAAUCUCAUAAAACCGUUCUCAGUUCGGAUUGUAGGCUGCAACUCGCCUACA